This 263-nucleotide ribosomal RNA is filed under the name uncultured bacterium. Its description in RNAcentral is "partial 16S ribosomal RNA". It matches the Rfam family "Bacterial small subunit ribosomal RNA", at positions 1240 to 1500 of the family's 1533-position model. The record is from RNAcentral.
CAACGAGAAGCGAACCUGCGAAGGCAAGCGGAUCUCUUAAAGCCGUUCCCAGUUCGGACUGUAGGCUGCAACUCGCCUACACGAAGCUGGAAUCGCUAGUAAUCGCGGAUCAGCACGCCGCGGUGAAUACGUUCCCGGGCCUUGUACACACCGCCCGUCACACCAUGAGAGUCUGUAACACCCAAAGCCGGUGGGAUAACCUUUAUAGGAGUCAGCCGUCUAAGGUAGGACAGAUGAUUAGGGUGAAGUCGUAACAAGGUAGC